Molecule: ribosomal RNA, 381 nt
Filed under: uncultured bacterium
Lineage: Bacteria
Description: partial 16S ribosomal RNA
Rfam family: Bacterial small subunit ribosomal RNA
Source: RNAcentral
UAGGGAAUCUUCCACAAUGGACGCAAGUCUGAUGGAGCAACGCCGCGUGAGUGAAGAAGGUUUUCGGACCGUAAAGCUCUGUUGUUGGUGAAGAAGGAUAGAGGUAGUAACUGGCCUUUAUUUGACGGUAAUCAACCAGAAAGUCACGGCUAACUACGUGCCAGCAGCCGCGGUAAUCGUAGGUGGCAAGCGUUGUCCGGAUUUAUUGGGCGUAAAGCGAGCGCAGGCGGAAGAAUAAGUCUGAUGUGAAAGCCCUCGGCUUAACCGAGGAAUUGCAUCGGAAACUGUUUUCUUGAGUGCAGAAGAGGAGAGUAGAACUCCAUGUGUAGCGGUGGAAUGCGUAGAUAUAUGGAAGAAUACCAGUGGCGAAGGCGGCUCCUG